AGUCAAUAGAUACCCUGGUAGUCCACGCCGUAAACGAUGAGUACGUAGGUGUAGGAGGUAUCGACUCCUUCUGUGCCGCAGUUAACACAAUAAGUACUCCGCCUGGGAAGUACGGUCGCAAAGAUUAAAAACGUCAAAGGAAUUGACGGGGGCCCGCACAAGCAGCGGAGCAUGUGGUUUAAUUCGAAGCAACGCGAAGAACCUUACCUAGACUUGACAUCUCCUGAAUAGUGUAGAGAUACAUGAAGCCCUUCGGGGCAGGAAGACAGGUGGUGCAUGGUUGUCGUCAGCUCGUGUCGUGAGAUGUUGGGUUAAGUCCCGCAACGAGCGCAACCCUUAUUACUAGUUGCUACCAUUAAGUU
RNAcentral lists this ribosomal RNA (362 nucleotides) under uncultured bacterium. RNAcentral's name for it is "bacterial SSU rRNA". It matches the Rfam family "Bacterial small subunit ribosomal RNA", at positions 774 to 1130 of the family's 1533-position model. The record is from RNAcentral.